GUUUAGAGACUCAUCAUGUUUGGAAUCUUUUUAAAGCCUCUGGCAAUUCAUAGCACCAUCUUUCCCGUGAGUGAUUGUCAGAUCCAAGGUGAAGGAUCACCGCACAGGACACAAAGUCCCCAGAAACAGCUGCUGUGCCAUGGAUAAGAUGACCUGAACCAGUCUCCAGCUACCAGGAAAGAUGACCUGAACCAGUCUCCAGCCACCAGGAAAAUGACUUGUUGCCAGUGCUACUGCUGCUUCUUCUCCAGGUAGGUGGAGGGUAUAUAAGGCUUUCCCCUUCCUGAAAUAAACUGAGCUUGCUACACCCAGCCUGCCUCCUGGAAUAUGCGCCAUUGACCUUGUGCCUACUCGCCCCCUCCCUCAAGGAG
Molecule: long non-coding RNA, 371 nt
Filed under: Cricetulus griseus (Chinese hamster)
Lineage: Eukaryota; Metazoa; Chordata; Mammalia; Rodentia; Cricetidae
Description: lncRNA (ENSCGRG00015038667.1)
Source: RNAcentral